Molecule: ribosomal RNA, 272 nt
Filed under: uncultured Staphylococcus sp.
Lineage: Bacteria; Bacillati; Bacillota; Bacilli; Caryophanales; Staphylococcaceae
Description: partial 16S ribosomal RNA
Rfam family: Bacterial small subunit ribosomal RNA
Source: RNAcentral
UACGUAGGUGGCAAGCGUUAUCCGGAAUUAUUGGGCGUAAGCGCGCGUAGGCGGUUUUUUAAGUCUGAUGUGAAAGCCCACGGCUCAACCGUGGAGGGUCGUUGGAAACUGGAAAACUUGAGUGCAGAAGAGGAAAGUGGAAUUCCAUGUGUAGCGGUGAAAUGCGCAGAGAUAUGGAGGAACACCAGUGGCGAAGGCGACUUUCUGGUCUGUAACUGACGCUGAUGUGCGAAAGCGUGGGGAUCAAACAGGAUUAGAAACCCCAGUAGUCC